RNAcentral lists this ribosomal RNA (518 nucleotides) under uncultured Eubacteriales bacterium. RNAcentral's name for it is "uncultured Clostridiales bacterium partial 16S ribosomal RNA". Lineage: Bacteria; Bacillati; Bacillota; Clostridia; Eubacteriales. The record is from RNAcentral.
CACGUAGUUAGCCGGGGCUUCCUCCUAUGGUACCGUCAUCCUCUAGCAUUAAUUCACACUAGAGGCCUUCGUCCCAUAAGACAGAACUUUUACGACCCGAAGGCCUUCUUCAUUCACGCGGCGUUGCUCCGUCAGGCUUUCGCCCAUUGCGGAAGAUUCCCCACUGCUGCCUCCCGUAGGAGUCUGGGCCGUGUCUCAGUCCCAGUGUGGCCGUUCACCCUCUCAGGCCGGCUACUGAUCGUCGCCUUGGUGAGCCAUUACCUCACCAACUAGCUAAUCAGGCGCGGGCCCAUCCUUUAGCGAUAGCAUUGUUAAGAGGCCAUCUUUGCCUUGCAGGAAGAUGUCUUCCCGCAGGGUCAUCCGGUAUUAGCAGCCGUUUCCAGCUGUUGUCCCGGUCUUAACGGGUAGGUUUGCCCACGUGUUACUCACCCGUCCGCCACUAAGUAUAUUAAAAAGCAAGCUUCUUAAUAUACUCCGUUCGACUUGCAUGUGUUAAGCACGCCGCCAGCGUUCGUCCG